CUCUUGUCUGCUCCCUCCGCCUCUCUCCUGCUCUUCUAGUCCACCUUUCCUGUUCCCAGGCCAUCUCUUCAAGAUGGCCCACAAGGACUUUCUGAUUUCUCUGCUCCUGGCUUCUAGGACUUUAAAGUUUCAGGCUGAAAAAAGCUUAUGAAAACUGCUACUGCACCCGAGAUGGAAAGAUACCCCCAGUGAAAGGGCAAAUAGGAUUCAGGAGAUCUUAGCUGUCCUGUGAAGACGAAGAAACUCCAAUAAUUUUGGUAGCUUGAUUUCAGCAGCUCAUACUAAUCCUCAAGCCAUUUACCAUCUCAGGAGAGAGCAGUAAGUAGAUAAUGAUUGGGCCUCUGAAAAGCCACUGCCAGCUUUGGUGUUUUGUGAAUUCCACGUUUGGAGGAUACACAGGGCAUCAGGUUCCCAUCAGCCUUGCCUUGGAGAGCUCACUUACACAAAGGAGAGGACAAUGCCGUUUAAAGCACAAUUGCCUUCUGAGAAGAGUGGAUCUUAUAUAUAGGAAAGCUUUUUGGUCAGCUCAGUACCUUCAUGGAUUUGGAUAUGCAAAAUGGGCCCAGAGCAACAUGUGGGAAGAAGGGCUGGGGCAGAGUUGAAUUGCUCUGCAUAAUUAAUAAGAAUUGGAAUUGGUGGGGGAGAACCCACGAAGGAGAUGAGAAAAAGAGAGGUGGGUGAAGACGAGGGACAGCAAAAUGGGUGAGUCUGGGGCUCUCUGCUGAGUGGAGUGACCAGCAAAAAAUCCCAGGAGUGGGAGUCUAGAACUUGGAUGUCUAUGUAGUUGUGCCCUGUUGCAAUAAAAGCCUCUCUAUAGUCCUCUCAAGUCUGCUGUAAAAUCUUCUUUACGAACUUCCUCGUGUAAGGAUUUGUUUGCGUUGGUGGAACUCAGGGAUGAGGCUCAAUUUCAGAUAUGAGUCAAUUGUGGAAUAGACUAACAGAAAGAGCAAAGCCACAAAAGAAGAAAACAAGAGUUAAAAGCCAGGGUAAUUACAAGAAAAUAACUCUCAAAGAAUUUGGAGAAAUCACUGGACAUUCACAGUGUAUUGAAUUGGUGGCUCAAGCUCAUCUUUUCUAGACACCAAUGGGAAGGAAGACUCCAUGUGUGCAUGCGUAUGUGACACGCACACGCACACUUACACACAACUGGAAAAAACUGAAGAAAAGGCUGAGGGAGAACAUUUGACCAGGUCUGGGCCCAGAUACAAGGGAAGCCUGGUGGACAAUGAGUUGGUGCCCCUGCAAUCUGAGGGCUCUUCCUUGAAGAAGCCGAGUGGGUGGAGUCUUGGCUGCUGGCCAGGGAAUAAGAAGUCAUCAUCAGGAGAAGAGGCAGCUGCUGGCUGCAAGGGCGUGUUCAUGUGCGGGAAAUCGACCAGGCGAGUUUGAUCAGAUGAGGUACCCACAUACACUUAAAGGAUACAUAUAUUAUGAUUUAGCAGUUCGUUUUGACAACUCCCUUUGUGGCAAAUUCAAGGUAAGAAGUAACACUGUUAUAUGAAGCUGUAUCUGCGUGAUCCACCCCACUCCCCCCCCAAAAAAGAACCUAGCAAGGGCCCUUGGUUAAUUGCUUUCAGCAGUGGGAGGAAGAGAGGCCUGCUGUUCUAUCCAUCUUUUCAUAAAGGUCGCAAACGUUCUCUCUCCAACAAUAUCUGGAAGGAUGAAGCAUGACAGGGAGCUCCUCUGAACACAGCCACAACUGUCACGGUUGAAGAAAUGUUCAUCCCGCUCCUGCUUUGCCGGCAGUACAGGGUGUUUGGGCAAGAUUGGUGCCCCAAAGAGCCUUGUAUGGUGAGUUUAAGAGCCACCCCUGGCUAAAUCUUCCUAUGGCAUUGCUCUGAUCACGUACCUCUCCAGGUACAACCCCUUUAGAGGGCUCCCAAUUGCCUGCACAUUCAGUCAAAAUCCACUGGCUUGGAAGUGAGACCCUUCUCAGCUUAAAUCUUCUCUUCCUCUGGAAAACUUCCUGGAUUUCCUCACACCUGUAGCAUCUGCCAUCAGGUUUUUCCGUCACACUCUGAACUUCCAAUCCUUCGCACUCUGAUAACAGUUUAAUUGAAUUUGAAUUAAAUAUUUGUUUGAUGUCACCAGAGCUAGACUGCUGAGCCCUAUGUGGGUAGGGACCAGAUCUUUUUGUUUAAGUACUUAAAGUAGUGGCUGGCACUGAGUAACUCCUCAUAAAUAUUUAUGACUCACUGAAUGACUAACUGACUUGCUGUUCUCGUCCCAACUUACCUGUUCAGCUUCAUCUCCUGAUUCCUCCAUACACACACCUACGUUCCAUCCAAAUCCACCAUUCCCUGACAUCUGUCUUUACUUUCUUAUCUCUGUUACUUUGUUCAUUUGAUUCUUUCUUCUCGGAUAAUUGAUAUCAUUCCCAUCCCAUUUAAGGACAACCAGAAUCAGAGAAGACAGAACAGUAUUUUUUUUAGUGACAUAUAAUUUCAUGUAACAUAAAAUUCCCUAGUGAUUUUUAGCAUAUUCACAAGGUUGUACAACUAUCACUACUAUCUAAUUCCAGA
Equus caballus (horse) is the source of this 2519-nucleotide non-coding RNA. Lineage: Eukaryota; Metazoa; Chordata; Mammalia; Perissodactyla; Equidae. The record is from RefSeq and is a predicted model, not a curated record.